AUGGAGAGUUUGAUCCUGGCUCAGGAUGAACGCUAGCGGGAGGCCUAACACAUGCAAGCUGAGCGGUAGAGAUCUUUCGGGAUCUUGAGAGCGGCGUACGGGUGCGGAACACGUGUGCAACCUGCCUUUAUCUGGGGGAUAGCCUUUCGAAAGGAAGAUUAAUACCCCAUAAUAUAUUAAGUGGCAUCACUUGAUAUUGAAAACUCCGGUGGAUAGAGAUGGGCACGCGCAAGAUUAGAUAGUUGGUGAGGUAACGGCUCACCAAGUCGAUGAUCUUUAGGGGGCCUGAGAGGGUGAUCCCCCACACUGGCACUGAGAUACGGGCCAGACUCCUACGGGAGGCAGCAGUAGGGAAUAUUGGGCAAUGGAGGAGACUCUGACCCAGCCAUGCCGCGUGCAGGAAGAAGGCCUUCUGGGUUGUAAACUGCUUUUGAUCGGGAACAAAAAGUCCAUGCGUGGAAAAUUGAGUGUACCGAUAGAAUAAGCACCGGCUAACUCCGUGCCAGCAGCCGCGGUAAUAC
RNAcentral lists this ribosomal RNA (521 nucleotides) under Chloropicon mariensis. Its description in RNAcentral is "partial Bacterial small subunit ribosomal RNA". It matches the Rfam family "Bacterial small subunit ribosomal RNA", at positions 1 to 526 of the family's 1533-position model. The record is from RNAcentral. Lineage: Eukaryota; Viridiplantae; Chlorophyta; Chloropicophyceae; Chloropicales; Chloropicaceae.